Molecule: long non-coding RNA, 1125 nt
Filed under: Homo sapiens (human)
Lineage: Eukaryota; Metazoa; Chordata; Mammalia; Primates; Hominidae
Description: non-protein coding lnc-LIN7A-6:1
Source: RNAcentral
UGGAGCUCCUGGCGUAACUGCACAGAAGCAUGCACUACCACAGCCUGCAUUUGCCUCUAGUAAUUGCAAGCUCUACACUGGGCUGGAAAGACCCCAUGGGAAUGUGAGAGUGAUUUAGAUAUUGCACACAAAUUUAGAAAAAAACAGUGGUAAGCUGUAAAUGCUAUGAAUCCCCUGAACACCUGUGUGUACAAAGAGGUUCCUGUGGCUUGGAAUAUAACUUAGGUUGUAUGGUCUUGGAACUUGGCCUGAAGAAAUUCAGAAUCUGGAAAACACCACAGCUUUACCUCUUUCUCGGAUGAAUUUUUUUUUUUUUUUUUUUUUUUUGAGACACAGUCUCACUCUGUUGCCCAGGCUGGAGUGCAGUGGCGUGAUCUUGAAUCACUGCAACCUCUGCCUCCCAGGUUCAAGUGAUUCUCCUGCCUCGACCUCCCGAGUAGCUGGGAUUACAGGCACAUGCCACCACCUCUGGCUAAUUUUUGUAUUUUUGGUAGAGACAGGUUUCACCAUGUUGGCCAUGCUGGUCUCGAACUUCUGACCUAAGGUGAUCCGCCUGCCUCGGCCUCCCAAAGUUCUGGGAUUACAGGCAUGAGCCAUGGCGCCUGGCCUCUCAGAUAAUUUUUAUUAGUGGUACUCUGCAGAUUCCUGUGGCAUCAGUGGAUUGAUUACCACUGUGGUGCUUCUACCUUGUAGUUUAUAGACUGUUCCUAAGCAAUGGUCAAUAUUCUAUGCCACCAUAUUCUGAGUAUUGUGCAUUUCCCACCGUUGUCAGAAAUUCACCAACUGAGCAGGACCCCUGAUGCCAGUCUUUAUUCUGCAUUCACAGGACUGCAGAAUUCUAGCCAUGGUGCAACUUCUAUUUUUGACUGUCCUUUUGCAGGACAAGCAUAUGAAAAUUCUGGACCAGGAUUCUGGACUGGUGUGGGAACUGGAGGAAUAUUGGGUAUUUGUUUGGCAGCAGUAUAUCAGCAGCACUCUUUUUAGACAUGUGGCACCCGCCCCCCAUCUUAUCCUCCAUUGUACUCUAGCACAUGGAAUAAUCAUCCUACUGCUUAGAGGAGGCCCAGGUCAAACUCUGACCCGAGAACAACAACUGCCUCAGGGUAUGGUGGUAUCAGAAGAUGA